Rosa chinensis is the source of this 1020-nucleotide long non-coding RNA. RefSeq lists it as uncharacterized. NCBI's taxonomy places the organism in Eukaryota, Viridiplantae, Streptophyta, Magnoliopsida, Rosales, Rosaceae. The record is from RefSeq and is a predicted model, not a curated record. The transcript is spliced from 3 exons.
CUCUCUUCCCCGAUCUAUUUCACUCUCUUAAGUCUCAACUAACUUCACUGCCAUGGCUUCUUCGACACCGCCGACGACUUCUAUGACGUCACUUGGUCUGAAUCUCACGACUCCCUACUCAUCGCCUCCAUCACCAACGACUCCGUCAAGCUCUAUGACCUCGCCUUCCCGCCGACCUCCAACCUCCUCCGCUUCCUCUUCAGUUCUACUCCUGCUUCAUGUAUGGUUCUCUCCACCCUCAAUAGCUAUUAGCACCUGUUCACAAAUUCCUAGCAAACCUUCUCUGAUUCAUUAUGGGGAGAAAGAAGAAGUUCAUCGACAAGAAAAAGGCUACUUUCCAAUUAAUCUCCCGAGAUUCCUCCGAUCCCAACGACGAUGACUCACUCGGCGACGACCGAGUCUUCAUCCAAGUCUUCGUCAACCCAACGACGAUCUUGAUUCGAUCUUGGCCGACGCGCCUGAGGACAAAGAAGCUGACAACUAUUACGACCACACUUUCAAAAACUCUGUGGCGGUGGCUUAGCCCCUGCCGGAGAAACAACUUUGAUAAUUUAGGUCCAUGUAAAAAGAAGAAUGACCAAGGAGGAGAAGCUGGCAUUAAUGAAAGCAGGGAGGGAGGAAAGAAGGAAGUACAUGGCUAGAGCUGCUAUAUAUAAAAAAGAAGAAUGUAUAUUUUACUGCAAUUCUUUGAAGUUAUCAUGUUUUAGAGUUCUACAAGCAUCGUCAUGGCUUUGAACUUUGCCAUUUGAGGGAGGCUCGAGCAAUAAGCAGAAGGAACACAAGUAUGCCACUUGCUGCAAAGAGGGCAAAGGUAGCUAAAUCUCGAAGUGGCAAAACGCAAAAAGCAGUAGCAUUCUAGCAAAAAUUUCUGAGGGAAGAAAGCAUGGAAAUGAUCCUGAAAAAUCCAAUUUUCUUUUUGUCAUACUUCUAUUUCAGUUCAAGUAAAUCUUACUUUUACUGUUUUUGGUUAGAAGUAAAUUUUACAUUUAAGAUGAAGACUUCGUUGCAACUUGAUCGUGA